AAAAAAACCAAAAAGGUAAUAAAAAAUUAUCAUAUAAGGGCAAUCUAUCUUAAUGAUUUCUGCAAAAUUCAGUUGAUUGUGCAAGGGUUGUAUAGCCAGCUGAGGUCGUUAAAAACUCUCUUUUGUUGUUGCAGAUAGAUCUUGACCUGAUAAACAAUUUUACCACAUGUCAGAUUUGCUCUAAAUGCUUUGGUUUUUGAGUGAUAAGCCAAAAACCGCAUUUUACCCCUAUGUUCUAUUUUUAGCCAUGGCGGCCAUCUUGGUUGGUUGGCAGGGUCACCGGACACAAUUUUUAAACUACAUACCCUAAUAAUGAUUGUGGCCAAGUUUGGUUUAAUUUGGUCCAGUAGUUUCAGAGGAGAAGAUUUUUGUAAAAGUUAACGACGACGGACGAUGACGGACGCCGGACGCCAAGUGAUGAGAAAAGCUCACUUGGCACUUCGGGCCAGGUGAACUAAAAAUGAACUAGAAAAAUUAAGAAAGGAAAAAAUGCAUGGUAAGAUAGUUCGAUCCAGAAUACAGUGGUUAGAAGAGGGAGAAAAACCAUUUUUGAGGACUGGAAUCUAAGAAUUUUACCAGCAUUUUGGAUCCUCAAUGCUCUUCAACUUUGUAUUGAUUUGGCUUUUUAACUAUUUUGAUCUGAGCGUCACUGAUGAGUCUUAUGUAGACGAAACGCGCGUCUGGCAUAUAAAAUUAUAAUCCUGGUACUUUUGAUAACUAUUAUGAAAAUUUGUACAAAAAACAGAGAUGUAGAAUGUUGUAAACCUAAAGAUAUUGAAACUAGUCUACAAAAUGUAAAUCUUUAGACGAACAAGAUAAACUAGAAGGUCAAAUGUCAGUUAAUGAAGCUGGUGAAACUUUAAAAAGAAUGAAAAGUGUGGAUCAGAUGGUUUUUCAAGUGAUUUUGUUUUUAAAUUUUUCUGGCCUGACUUAAAAUAUUUUGUUGUAAGAUCCUUGAAUGCAGGUAUAAAGGGGGGCUUUCUGUUACUCAAAAACAGGGGAUAAUAACAUGUCUUCAAAAGGGUAACAAACGUAGACAUUAAAAAAAAACAACUGGCGCCCUAUAUCUUUGCUAAAUACUGUAUAUAAAAUUGGCGCUGGGGUUAUAAACAAGAAGAUUUAGAAUAGUUUUGACUAAACUUAUUGAUAUUGAUCAGACAGGUUUUAUGAGUGGAAGAUAUAUUUGGGACAAUCUAAGAUUGAUCUAUGAUAUCAUGGAAUAUACUGAAGAUAAUGAUAUACCAGGCUUUUUAUUGUUGAUAGAUUUCGAAAAAGCCUUUGAUUCCAUUUCAUGGGAAUUUCUUUUAAAUGUAUUGAUUUUUUUAAAUUCUGGCGAUUCUAUUAUAAAUUGGGUGAAACAUUAAUUCAGCAGUCAUUCAGGGAGGGAAUCUUAUAGACUUUUUCACUGUUGAACGGGGUUGUAGGCAAGGUGAUCCAUUAUCGCCUUAUCUUUUCAUUCUUUGUGCAGAAAUUUAAGAAUUAAAAAUAACAAAUAACAAAAAAAUAAAUGGAAUCAAAGUUCUUCAUGUUGAACACAAACUCUCACAGUUUGCUGACGAUACAUCACUUCUUUUAGAUGGUAGUGAAGAAUCUUUUAAUGAGACAUUGUUGGAACUAGAUUGGUUUGCUCAAAUUACUGGUUUGAAUAUAAAUGUUUUCAAAACUCAUGUAAUUUGGAUUGGAAGUAAAAAGUACAGCACAGAGACACUUUGUACAAAUCAAAAUCUUAAUUGGAAAAGCACAUCCUUUAAAUUAUUGGGUGUUAAUGUUGAUGUUGAUUUAGAUAAACUAGUUGAAAUCAAUUAUGAUGAAAAUAUUGUAAAAAUAACCAGAUGCUCCGCAGGGCGCAGCUUUAUACGACCGCAGAGGUCGAACCCUGAAGAGUUGGGGCAAGUAUGGACACAACAUUUAACUUGAUACAGCUCUGAAUUUGGAUAGUGAUUAAAAAGUUGACACAACAUAGGUUUCUGACACAGAAUGAAUGUGGUCUAAGAACUCAAAUAUUUACCUAUUAUGGUCCAAUAUCCAAAAUUUAAAUACAUGGUUAGAUUCAGCAUAUCAUAGAACCCUAAGAAUUCAAUUUUUGAUGAAAUCAAAUAAUGUUCAAUUUUAGACCCUUUAAACCUCAAUGUGGACCAAUUUUAUUAACGGGCCCAAAUAUUAAAAAUCUAAAUACUUGGUUAGAUUCAGCAUAUUUAAGAACCCCAUAUAUUUAAUUUUUGUUGAAAUCAAACAAAGUUUAAUUUUGGACCCCAAACAACUUGAAAACUGGGCCCAUAAUAAAAAAAUCUAAGUACAUGUUUAGAUUCAGCAUAUAAAAAAACCCCAAGAAUUCAAUUUUUGUUAAAAUCAAACUAAAGUUUAAUUUUGGACCCUUUGGACCUUAAUGUAGACCAAUUUGAAAACAGAACCAAAAAUUAAGAAACUAAAUACACGGUUAGAUUUGGCAUAUCAAAAUACCCCAAUAAUUCAUUUUUUGAUGAAAUCAAACAAAGUUUAAUUGUGAACCUUUUUGGCCCCUUAUUCCUAAACUGUUGGGAGCAAAACUCCCAAAAUCAAUCUCCACCUUCCAUUUGUGGUCAUAAACCUUAUGUUAAAAUUACAUAGAUUUCUCUUCACUUAUACUAAAGUUAUUGUGCGAAAACCAAGAAAAAUGCUUAUUUGGGCCUUUUUUGGCACCUAAGUCCUAAACUGUUGGGACCAAGACUCCCAAAAUCAAUCCCAACCUUCCUUUUAUGGUCAUAAACCUUGUGUUUAAAUUUCAUAGAUUUCUAUUCACUUAUACUAAAGUUAUAGUGCGAAAACCAAAUGUCUUCGUUCUCAAAAGAAAAAAGUGAUCUAAAGAUAUGUAUUUGUUGCUAAACAAAAACAACACUGUUCAUACAGGAGUAAAAAGAUGGG
RNAcentral lists this long non-coding RNA (2901 nucleotides) under Mytilus galloprovincialis (Mediterranean mussel). The record is from RNAcentral. Lineage: Eukaryota; Metazoa; Mollusca; Bivalvia; Mytilida; Mytilidae.